This 254-nucleotide ribosomal RNA is filed under the name uncultured bacterium. RNAcentral describes it as "partial 16S ribosomal RNA". It matches the Rfam family "Bacterial small subunit ribosomal RNA", at positions 524 to 776 of the family's 1533-position model. The record is from RNAcentral.
UACGGGGGGGGCAAGCGUUGUUCGGAAUUACUGGGCGUAAAGGGCUCGUAGGCGGCCAACUAAGUCAGACGUGAAAUCCCUCGGCUUAACCGGGGAACUGCGUCUGAUACUGGAUGGCUUGAGUUUGGGAGAGGGAUGCGGAAUUCCAGGUGUAGCGGUGAAAUGCGUAGAUAUCUGGAGGAACACCGGUGGCGAAGGCGGCAUCCUGGACCAACACUGAUGCUGAGUGAGCGAAAGCCAGGGGAGCAAACGGG